UUUAUCUCGUGAUGAGACUUUCAUGCACCACGCAGAAGAUAUUCCUUGGUGAUUAUGAAUCCUCUGAAGAUAA
Molecule: small nucleolar RNA, 73 nt
Filed under: Lutzomyia longipalpis
Lineage: Eukaryota; Metazoa; Arthropoda; Insecta; Diptera; Psychodidae
Description: small nucleolar RNA Me18S-Gm1358
Source: RNAcentral